UGCAGUCGCACGAGAACGCUUCAGCUUGCUGAAGUAAGUAAAGUGGCGCACGGGUGAGUAACGCGUGGGUAAUCUACCCUUGAAUUGGGGAUAACCCGCCGAAAGGCGGGCUAAUACCGAAUGACAUCUUGAAAACUUAUGUUUUCAGGAUCAAAGGUGGCCUCUACAUGUAAGCUAUUGUUUGGGGAUGAGCCCGCGUACCAUUAGCUUGUUGGUAGGGUAAUGGCCUACCAAGGCUACGAUGGUUAGCUGGUCUGAGAGGAUGAUCAGCCACACUGGAACUGACACACGGUCCAGACUCCUACGGGAGGCAGCAGUGAGGAAUUUUGCGCAAUGGGGGAAACCCUGACGCAGCAACGCCGCGUGAGUGAUGAAGGCUUUCGGGUCGUAAAGCUCUGUCAAGUGGGAAGAACUCAUAUGGUGUUAAUACUGCCAUAUGUUGACGGUACCACUGAAGGAAGCACCGGCUAACUCCGUGCCAGCAGCCGCGGUAAUACG
Molecule: ribosomal RNA, 498 nt
Filed under: uncultured bacterium
Lineage: Bacteria
Description: bacterial SSU rRNA
Rfam family: Bacterial small subunit ribosomal RNA
Source: RNAcentral